Transfer RNA from Daphnia magna, 73 nucleotides. It matches the Rfam family "tRNA". From Rfam's summary of the family: Transfer RNA (tRNA) molecules are approximately 80 nucleotides in length. Their secondary structure includes four short double-helical elements and three loops (D, anti-codon, and T loops). The record is from Rfam. NCBI's taxonomy places the organism in Eukaryota, Metazoa, Arthropoda, Branchiopoda, Diplostraca, Daphniidae.
GCCCUUGUGGCCUAAUGGAUAAGGCGCCAGCCUCCUAAGUUGGAGAUUGCGAGUUCGAGUCUCGCCAAGGGUA